UUGGGGGGUGGAGGGAAACUAAGGGGCGUUCUCCUCGUCUGAGAAGGCUGCUUUGGAGGGACUCAAGGACGCCCCCAGCGCAGUAGCUCAAACUGCAGUGCUCUGCCCUGCAAAGCCCGGAGCCUGAGCGGCAUCUCAGAGCUGGUGCCCUCGUUCCUGCCAUUCUGUUCGAGUCACCACACCGGCUCACCACAGGGCAGCAGAGGAAUCCCAGCACCCCAGCCCCCGGGAAGCCAGAGAAGAAAUGUGCUGAGUUUCUGCACCGGGAGAAGAGUUCUGGAUGUUCGAGCGCAUGUUUGGAGUCAUUGGGUUGAGCGCGUGUGCGUUUCCGGCCACAGUCUCGUCUUUGGGAAGUGAAGACAGUCGGUGCGGUUCUGUUUUCAAGAUGAAGCCUUGAACUCAAAGUGGAAAAUGAGUGGCAGUGUUAACGUCCGCAGGGAGGUUAGAUAGGAAAGGGCCCUCCUGGCAACUGGAGUUAUUCCUGGGAAGUAAGAUAAUGAGUUCCUGGGAAGUAAUAAAACCAAUACCCCUGAGGGACCUAAGGCCUGAGAAGGCCUCAGCUGGGGCCAACAGAUGCAGGGAAGGCUGGACUUCCACCCUGAGAGAAGCUCCUGCAAGAACAAAGGCCAGGAAAGGAAUUUCAAAGAGGACCAUUGACCGCUCCCAACUCUACCCCUUUGGCAAUCAUCCUAGCAAGGAACUCUUAUCUAGCUAGAAAGCCCCACCAAACUAGAAAGCCUCACUUGGGAUAGCUAGGGAAAAACCCUGUAAAAGCCACCUUGAACAAAGGAAGGGCGCGCAUAUUCUGCUGGAGCCCAUGUGCUGUUUGUGCCCACAUGGCUGAGCACAUGUGUCGCCUGAGCACUUGUGUCGCCCGCAUCUCCACUCUUGAGAUGUGUACUGGGGCCUCUCUCCAUCUUUGAAGAAGUCUGCGUGCUCCCUGGAGCGUGUUUCUCUCUCUCUCUCUCUCUCUCUCUCUCUCUCUCUCUCUCUCUCUCUCUCGCUCUCGCUCUCGCUCUCGCUCUCUUCUUUUUUUUCGGCUUUUUGGGUCACACCCAGAGAUGCACAGGGGUUACUCCUGGCUCUGCACUCAGGAAUCACUCCUGGCAGUGCUCAGGGAACCAUCUGGGAUGCUGGGAAUCGAACCCGGGUCAGCUGCAUGCAAGACAAAUGCCCUACCCACUGUGCUCUCACUCCAGCAAUCCCCCUCCCCCGGCUCUGCUCUCCCUCCUUCCUAAAAGCCUGCAAAUAAAAUCUGUUUUUACUUCACUGCUUUUUUUA
Molecule: long non-coding RNA, 1281 nt
Organism: Sorex araneus (European shrew)
Lineage: Eukaryota; Metazoa; Chordata; Mammalia; Eulipotyphla; Soricidae
Exons: 2
Source: RefSeq, a predicted model, not a curated record